This is a long non-coding RNA of Pomacea canaliculata, 480 nucleotides long. RefSeq lists it as uncharacterized. The record is from RefSeq and is a predicted model, not a curated record. Lineage: Eukaryota; Metazoa; Mollusca; Gastropoda; Architaenioglossa; Ampullariidae. The transcript has 2 exons.
GAUUGUCUCCCCUGUAUGACCUUGCUCCCUCAACGACAACGUGCUUCCUGUAUUACUGAACAGCUCGUCGUUAAUUAAAAUAGAAGAGCUUGUACGAUGAUUCGUCUGUCUUCCAGCAGAGGGGCAGCAGGAGAUCCAGAAAUGGAGAGAAGGCGGAUAGAGACGGAGAAAGAACAAGCUCGGUUCAUGACGGUCCAGAAUAUUGUGCUGUUUGCAACUUCAUGCGGAAUAAUCAGGGCAUUGCCGUGGAUAAUAAACCAACUAAAUUCUUGUUGAAUGUGCCAGCUGGAUCAAGGACUGAAGAGAGAUCUGGAACAUGUUCAGUCACUAAUGACAAGAAGGGCCCUGUGAAAUCAUGGAAUAGUAAUGAUGGCAAUUGUUAAAGCAUACUUUUAUUAUUUAAAGCAUUGCAAACCAAGGGAUUACACUGUUAUGUCUUUCUAUAUGCUAUACAAAUAAAAUGGUGAAGUAUAAACAUGA